This is a non-coding RNA of Triticum aestivum (bread wheat), 142 nucleotides long. The record is from Rfam. Lineage: Eukaryota; Viridiplantae; Streptophyta; Magnoliopsida; Poales; Poaceae.
AUUAUACUCCCUACGUCCCGAAUUACUUGUCUUAGAUUUGUCUACAUACGGGUGUAUCUAACACUGAACGUGUCUAGAACUCUAGAUACAUCCAUAUCUAGACAAAUCUAAGACAAGUAAUUUGGGACAAAGGUGAUAUUUC